AUGUGAUCCUUGGAGAUGCCAGGAAGCCCCUUGACACAUGUGGCAUGGGCUCCUUCAGAGGCUUUUGGAUCCGUCGUGAAUGUGGCAUGGGCAUGCAAAGAAAGACAGAGGCUGCAAGGGAUAAACUUCAUCUUGGGAGAUCCCUGGAGAUGGCAGGGAACCCAUGGACACAUGUGGCAUGGGCUCCUUUGGGUGCCGGUGGAUCCCUUCAUACGGUAAAGCCAGAGUUGGGUAUCAACCAGAUACACUGCAGGGGAUCAGAGGACAUGGCCUUUGUGUACUGCACAUCUGUCAGAUUUUCUCAAGCACACCCGUGUUUCCUCUUCACCUCCCACGUGGAAGUGAUGAAUUGGCCAGGACCAUGUUGGUGAGGGACAAUCAUCAUCUCAUGUUAACCUCAGAGAAGCCAGGAAGCUCCUGGACACACAUGGUGUAGGCUUCCUUGGAGGCUGUUGGAUCUCUCCUGAAUGUAGUGUUGGUGUAAAAGGCAAACCCGUGUCAUGAGGGAUGGUCAUCAUCUUGUGUGAUCCUUGGAGAUGGCAGGAAGCCCUGGACAUACAUGGUGUGGGGGCUCCUCCAGAGGCUGUUGGGAUCCUCCUGGAUGUGGUGUGGGCAUGGAAGGAAGGCCAGUGGAGACAAUGGAUGAUCUUGUUCUUAGCAGAUCACUGGAUGUGGCAGGGAGUCCUAGGACAUGUGUGGUGUGGGCUUCUUCAGGUGCUGGUGGUGUUGGCAUGAGGAAAGGAGGUAUCUUCGAGGGACAAUCUUCUUCUUGUGCGAUCCUUGGAGAUGCCAUGAGGCCCCUGGACACAUGUGGUGUGGGCUCCUUUGGAGGCUGUUGUAUCCCUUCUGAAUGUGGCGUGGGCAUAGAAGGAAGGCCAGUGGCCACGAGGGACAAUCUUGGUCUUGGGAGAUCCUGGAAAUGAUAGGGAGUCCCUUGAUAUGUGUGGCAUGGGCUCCUUCAGGUGCUAGUGGAUUCCUUAGGAUGGUGGUGUUGGCAUGAAAGGCAGGCUUGUAUCAUGAGGAAUGAUUGUCAUCUUGUCUGAUUCUUGGAGAUGGCAGGAAGCCCCUGGAAACACAUGGUGUGGACUCUUUCACAGGCUGUUGAAACCCUCCUGAAUGUGAGGCCAGAGACAGGCAGACAGCAGAUGUAUUGCAGGGAGCUGGAUGACAUGGCCCUUGGAACCUGUGCACAUGCCUGCCUUUCUGAUGCACGUCCAUGUUUUCUCUGCACCUCCCCGGUGGUGUUGGUAUAAAAAGCAGGCUUACAUCAGCAAGGGAUGAUUGUCGUCUCAUGCGAUCCUGGGAGAUGGCAGAAGUCCCGGGACACAUGGAGUGUGGGCUCUUUCGGAGGCUGUUGGAUCCCUCCUGAAUGUGUUGUGGCCAUGGAAGUAAGGCCAGUGGCUACGAGGGACAGUCUUCAUCUUGGGAGAUCCCUAGAGAGGGCAGGGAGCCCCUUGACAUGUGGAAUGUGAUCUCUGUUGGGUGCUGGUGGAUCCCACAGGUGGUCUGGCAUGGAAGAAGGCCAGAGGCUGCGAUGGAUCAUCUUUGUCUUGGGAGAUUCCUGGAGAUGGUGGGGAGCCCCUGGGCACGUGCAGCAUAUGUGGCGUGGGCUUCUUCAGGUGCUGGUGGAUCCCUCAGGAUGCUUUUCAAGGUUUUUCUAUGAGUUCUGUUAAAGAGUCUGAAAAUGGAGCGUAGAAGACAUGCUUCGAUUUCCAGGAUGGUUGUGUUUUCCAGAGAGGCGGAGGUAAACCACUGGCGCAGCCCUGCCUCCCACAGAUAAUUCCGGGUGCAGUGUUUCAUAUCUAGACUUGGACUUCUAUCCUACCAUACUUCUUUGUGUGCAGUUCAUUGUGGAACCAGCACAGAUUUUCAUACGAAAGUUAUUUCUUUUUAACCUCAAAAAGUGACAGAAUGGAGUGUAUCAUGAAAAAGUCUGACAUCAAAACCUCAAAAUGUGAUAUUGAUUGGGUGAGAUAGAAUUCCAUGGAAUUUCAUUGCCAAACCAGUGAAGUGCUAAUUUUGACAUUUGUACCAGCUAACGUAGCUGUGAAGAAACACACCAAUACACUUCUAAGGACAGCAUAGACCAAGAUCUAGGUUUCAUAUGGAUGAAUUUAUUCUUCCCUUUGAGGCAAGACAAGAAGGAAAGAAAGUAUUGGGAAUAAUGCUGCCCUCCCAUCCUCAAGGGCCAGUGGGAACUCUAAUAUUGAUUGGGUGAGAUACAAUUCCAUGGAAUUUUACCACUGAACCAGUGGAGGGCUAAUUUUGUCAUUUGUACCAGUUAACUAACUUGGGAGGAAACAGAACAACACACUCCUGAGGGUAAAAUGGAAACUCUGAGAGUUUGGUUGGCGGCAUCUAUAUACCAUAGAAACAGAGCCUGGGAAGCAGAACAGUGAGACCCAAGAGAAAUGUUCCUGCCUAUACUUGAUUGGUUUUCACAGAAUUCCAUGGACUUUAACUGCUGAACCAAUGAUGCACUGAUUUUGUCACUUGUACCAGCUAACGCAUCUGGGAGGCAACAAAACAAUACUCUCCUGAGGUUAAUGUGGACCAAAAACUAGAUUUCAUAUAAAAGAGUUUAUUCCUUCUACUUGAGGUGUGACAUGAAGGAAAGUAAUGGAAAUAAUUCUGCCCUCCCAUUCUCAAGGGCCAGGGGGAAUUCAAAUAUUGAACGGAAGUGAUUUUGGAAUUGCAUGGAAUUCUCACUGCCAUCCCAAAGAAAUGCUGAUCUUGUCACUCUUACCUGUUUCAUUCCCUGGGGGCAGAACAAAAGGACGCACUCCAAAGAUCGGCAUGAACCAAGAACUGGGUUUCAUAUAAAAUAUUUUAUUCUGUCCUCUUGAGAUGUGACAUGAGAAAAGUAUUGAGAAUACUUCUAUCACCUCAUCUUCAAGAAUCCGUAGGAAUUCUCCCAUGGUGGACUUUACGGUUAACCUGAACAGGUCUUGGAAAAAGGACUUUAAACAUUCUCCUGUUCUGUGGAAUAAGUAUACUUUUUUCUGGACAUACACCUUGUCAGUUCCAUGUGAUACUAGAGUUGCAUAGAUUUUUAACCUUUACGCCAAUGAAGAUCUGAGGCAAACAUUGCCCCUUUUUUAGAAGUUUGCAUUUGUCACUGAUAACUGUAAUAAUUGAUCUUGUUGAAAAGCCUGGGAAAUGAAGAUCUGAUAUGUCACUUUUACCGGCUUCCUCAACUGAAAAAGAAUACAAUGAAACACGCUGAGAAUUUUUGUGCUUUCUCAGUCUUGCUGAUGAUCUUUCUAUGGGCCUGAAGCGUGGAGAGUGCCAGAGAGGCUGAUCCUCAGCAGUGUGGCAGAGGAAAGUUGGGUGCGACUAAGGGGUAUGCGGUGCCCACAUGCCACUGGGUCCUCAGCAGUACCACCUGAUUGGAAGUGAUAUUGGUGGAAGACAACAUUUUGCCGCUUGGAAUUCUCACCUCCACACCAAAGAAGUACUGUUUUUGUCAUUUGCACCAGCUUCUUUCUCCAGGAAAGAUCAAAACGAUGCACUGCAAGUGUGAUUGGUCCAGAUAGCUGCCUUAUCCAACUGCCUCCUUUGGACCACUUCAUCAUGGGACAGCUUGAUGCAAUCUACUUGACAAGACCCUGGAACCCCACACCCCUCAUGGAACCAGUGUCCACCUCCCAGUCACAGUGUGACCCCAGGGAACUCUUGCCUGCUUGCUUUAAACCCACCACUUAAAAGUCUCCACAGAAAACCUGUUUGAAUAGUACCCUUGACCCAAUAAGGGCAUUGGCCCCUGGGUGUCUCUCUCUCUCUCUCUCUCUCUCUCUCCCUCUCUCUCCCUCUCUCUCUCUCGCUCCCUGACCUCUGCGUGUGGACUCCAGGCAUGCCAUAUACCCCUCAGGACCUGAAGCAAAAGAAUGAAUUAAAGAAAACUCCAGAGAAUGAGCUGACAACCUACUCCCUGGUCAGUGGCUCUCCAUGCCUACCUGUGGUCUCUUGGACACCCUUGCAGAAGAUGACUUCCUGGGAACUCUUCUGGGAGUGAAUGUUAUCAGCAAAUUCCCAAAACAACACCCCUUAGACAAAAAGCCUCCUCACCUAUGCAUUGCCUAGACCACCCACUAAAGGUGAUGGCCACAAAGAGGUGGAUUUGUUGAGUUGGUGCCAUUCCUUCUACUGCCAGCUUCACCAAAACAAUGACACAGUCUUCCUUCCGCAUGGAGACUCUUCUCUUUCCUGUGUUGCAGUGGAUGCCUCCUGCAGAUAAGAAAUGCUUAACUGAGAAAUGCUCAUGUUGGGAUAUCAUCGAUGAGACUUUAAUUUGGGCAUGGUGACUGUUUCCCUUGCUGCCACUUGACUCAAUCCCAGGAGCCUCAGUAGAGGAUAUAAUAUUACACAAGAUGCUCAAAAUGGUGGAAUUGCUCAGUGCUCCCAUAAAUAUACAUUUAUAAUUUUCAUUUGCCACAUGGUAAACUGAAAAAUACAGACUAUAUUAAAAAGAAACUGCAUGAUUUUUUUUCAAAAAUUCAAAGCAUAUUUAAAUAAUAUAUAAAUUAAAUGCCCUCCUCUCUUCCAAUUCUGUCCCUAUAGUUUUCCUCUAUUAAGUGAACUACAUGCAUUCUUUUAGUGGAUAGAUGCACACAAACACACAAGCCAUUAUGGGGAAGGAUCCACGUGUGUGGCCAUAUUGUAACACAUUUUUCUGCAAAUCACCUCUUUCAUUUAACAGCCCUUAUUCAAUGGCCUUUUUCUUUUUCAGUAGUACAUACACAUCUGUGUCAUUUGUUGAAUGACGACAUGAAUGUUUUGUAGAUAAAAUAUAAUUAAAUGUUUUAAGCAUUUCUCACUCAUAGAUAUUUAUGUUAGCACCAAAUUUCUGUGCAAUGAACCUCCCUAUAUAUCAGUAAUUUUGCAUUUGUCUAUAAUAUCAUAAUAAAUUACUUAUCAGUUGAAUUACUGGGAUUAAGUAUGUGCACACUUUAUAUUUAUAUUUUGAAAAUUAUUGCAAGAUUGCCUUCAAAAAUGUGGUUAACAACUUUAUCUUCAAAUGGCAAUGAAUGAGAUUGCCAGCUUUCCUACAGCCUCACAGACAAUGGAUUUUAUAAAUAUUUAACAUUUUUGCCAAUGUGAUCACCCAAACUAUUGUCUUAAAUUGUAUCUCUUUUGUUUUUGAGUUUGGUCAUUUUUUCAUGUUUAUUAGCCAUCUGUAUUUUUUAAUUUCUUCUUUAUGUCCAAUUUUGUGGGUGGGAGGAGGAUUUAGUCUCUUCCUGAUUUCGAAGAGCUCAUUUACUAUUUCGGGAAAUAAGAUUUGGAUUGUCAACCAUUAUAGCUAUUUUUUACACACUUUUCAACUUUGUUUUUGUUAUAAGAAUGUGUAUGAUUGUUACAUGUCCAAGUAUAACCAUGUUCGCUUUUAUGGCUUCUGAGUUUCAUGUCAUUUUUGGAAAGAUAUAUAUAUUGAGUCCAUAAAACCCUUCACCUAUGUUAAAUUCUAAUUCUUUUGUGUUUUUUUAAUUCAAAUUCUUAAAUCAUGAGAAAUUUUUUUGUUUUGAAAUCUUAAAGUUGCCAAGUUACUUGCCAUUACUUGCGAUUAUUUGCCAAUAAUUGCCCAUUUAUCUGUACCGCCAUCUUGCGCAUAUGCUGUACUCUCAUCUGUGACUGGCUCCAUUUUUGUUCUGUGGAUUUGUGUGUCUCUUCUUCUGCCUCCUGUCUCGUGUCUGCUCGUUGGAAGAAAUUACAGUUUAGACUGCAAUUUCAUCAACUUUAAUAAAUCAAUUGAGGGGAGAAUUGGUUUUUAAAAAUAUUAAGUAAGUCUUCGUAUCCAAGGACAAGGUAUGUCUUUUCUUAUUCAAUAAUUUUAAUUACUGUUAAUAUUUUCACUGUGGUGAUGGGAGUUUUUCUUUUAAUUUAUUUUCUUGUUCAUUUUUUGUAUCUAAAGUUUUUGUUUUGUUUUGUUUUGGGGGUAAGUUGUCACCUUACUGUUUCUUGUUGCUUUUCAGAUUUUUUCAAAGUAUAGACUAAAUCCUUCACAAAUAUUUAAAGUUUUUAUUUUCCCCCUUCAUAUUGAUCCUGAUUUUAGUUAUGUUGACAAAGUCCACAGACUGUUACUAUCAGAACACUUGAACAGUUAUGGAAAUAUUACCUACCCUUGAUUUAAUCAGAGUUUAAUGGUAUGCUUCUUUGGUUUGACUGGCACAUUGUCGCUGGUCAUUUCCUCCCAAAGACCACCAGAAAGAGCUAUGAUCAAGCAAAGCUGAGUUUGUUAAACUUACCUGCAGCAAGGGAAAACACCACCUUGAUAGGGUUUAAUAAUGUUUCAAAAUCAAGAAAUGAGGCUUUGGGGUCUGGGCAGGGAACUAAUUAGAAAUGGGCAAAAUUUGUCAUGCAAUACCUUGUGGGAAAGUGAGAUGAGGUUCUUAAUGUGAGUAUUGAUGGUGAAAUCAUUUUCUAGGUGAGCUGUUUGCCUAUAUAAAGAUGUUAUCAAUGACAGAAGAACUAUUUGCCUAGAUAAACAAACUGAAUUUAUUUAUUGGUUUACAGUUUUAUCUUGCUGGGCAGGACUCUGCUGGGGGUGGUAUCAGGUCUUAUUCCCAAUAGGUAAGUUAUUUGGAUAUGGGUGGUCUUAAUCAUCAAUGUGUAAAAUGCUGAUUUUAAGUGCGAAAUACUUUGUCUACCAUGUUAGGAAAGUCUGCCACCUUUUAUCUUUUUUAAGGAAUUUUAAUCAAAACCAGGUGGUAGAUAUAAUCAAAUUGUUUUGCAGAAUCAAUUUUCCUGUUCUCUUUAAAGACUUUUAUCACUGUGAAUUAAUUUACUAUUAUUGCAACUUCCUUUAAUUCCUUGAAUGAACAGACCCUACUGGUUUUAAAAAUGUUUUAUUCUUUUAAUUUACUACUUAAUUGUGGGUAUUUUAAUUUGAUUUGGAAUUUUUACAAGUAUACAACUAAGUGAAAUUGAUCUGUGAUUUUUCUUUUUUGUGCUAUUUUUGUCAUGUUUUGAUAUCAGAUAUUCUGGUUGUGUUAAAAUAAUUUUGAGGAUUUUCUUCUUAUACUGUGUUCUAGAGUGGGUAAAAAAGCCCUAGUCUCACUAUCAGUGUUUAAGUGAACACAUCAGUGACAUCAUCUGGACUCUCCUUUGUUUUUGCUGGUUUGGAGUUAGGACAUCUAGAAGUUUUUUUCUUUUUUUCCUUUUUUUGUAUGGUUAUUGCUUGUUCUUUGUUUUGUGUCAAAUUUAACCUGUUUUCUCUUAGCAAAUCACAGCUCAUGCAGAUUUUCAAACACAUUAGCCUUGUUAUACAAAGUGUUCUUUCAUCAUUCUAUUAAAUUUCCAUUUUCAUUCCAGUUAUAGUUAUUUCUGCUGUGCCUUUGUUAAUGAAUAAGUUUAAACAGUGGAUGUUUAGCAUCACUAGCCUUCCCCUUCCAUCUCCCUUAAUCAGGACCUUGGUAUAAUUUAUCAGGUAUUUUUUAAGGUUCUAAUUUACUUAUAUAUAUUGUUUCUGUAUUCUUUUGUUUCUUUUCUUAAUAAAUUCUUAAA
This 7500-nucleotide long non-coding RNA is filed under the name Homo sapiens (human). RNAcentral describes it as "small nucleolar RNA host gene 14". The record is from RNAcentral. Lineage: Eukaryota; Metazoa; Chordata; Mammalia; Primates; Hominidae.